RNAcentral lists this ribosomal RNA (93 nucleotides) under uncultured bacterium. Its description in RNAcentral is "partial 16S ribosomal RNA". It matches the Rfam family "Bacterial small subunit ribosomal RNA", at positions 1379 to 1482 of the family's 1533-position model. The record is from RNAcentral.
CCUUGUACACACUGCCCGUCACACCACGAGAGUUGAUUCAUCCAGAAGUGGAUUCAAUAAGAGUCCCCCAAGGAUGGGUUGAUGAUUGGGGUG